Molecule: ribosomal RNA, 476 nt
Filed under: uncultured bacterium
Lineage: Bacteria
Description: bacterial SSU rRNA
Rfam family: Bacterial small subunit ribosomal RNA
Source: RNAcentral
UUGAACGCUGGCGGCAUGCCUUACACAUGCAAGUCGAACGGUAGAGGAGCAAUCCUCGAGAGUGGCGAACGGGUGAGUAAUGUAUCGGAACGUGCCCAGUAGUGGGGGAUAGCCCGGCGAAAGCCGGAUUAAUACCGCAUGAGACCUGAGGGUGAAAGCGGGGGAUCGCAAGACCUCGCGCGGACGGAGCGGCCGAUGGCAGAUUAGGUAGUUGGUGGGAUAAAAGCUUACCAAGCCGACGAUCUGUAGCUGGUCUGAGAGGACGACCAGCCACACUGGGACUGAGACACGGCCCAGACUCCUACGGGAGGCAGCAGUGGGGAAUUUUGGACAAUGGGCGAAAGCCUGAUCCAGCCAUGCCGCGUGCAGGAUGAAGGCCUUCGGGUUGUAAACUGCUUUUGUACGGAACGAAAAAGUCUUCUCUAAUACAGGGGGCGAAUGACGGUACCGUAAGAAUAAGCACCGGCUAACUACGU